GGAUGUGAGGGCGAUCUGGCUGCGACAUCUGUCACCCCAUUGGUCGCCAGGGUCGAUGCGGCUGAUCUGGCUGGCUAAGCGGGGGUCCCCUUCCUCCCUCACCGCUCCAUGUGAGUCCCUCCCGAAGCUGCGCGCUGGGUCGGAGGACGACCUUCCCGGAUAGAGGACGACCGUUCUUCGGUCAAGGGUAUACGAGUAGCUGCGCUCCCUGCUAGACCCUCCAAACAAGCUCUCUAGGUCCUUUUUGUGAAAGAAUAGUAGUGUUAAGAGAACUUUCUUUUUUCCUGUGAAAAGUGAAUAUAAAA
Ursus americanus (American black bear) is the source of this 305-nucleotide unclassified non-coding RNA. Its record names the gene 7SK. It matches the Rfam family "7SK RNA". From Rfam's summary of the family: 7SK was discovered as an abundant small nuclear RNA in the mid-70s but a possible function has only recently been suggested. Two independent studies have found that 7SK RNA binds the CDK9/cyclin T complex (known as elongation factor P-TEFb). NCBI's taxonomy places the organism in Eukaryota, Metazoa, Chordata, Mammalia, Carnivora, Ursidae. The record is from Ensembl.